CCUACGGGUGGCAGCAGUAGGGAAUCUUUCACAAUGGGCGAAAGCCUGAUGGAGCACCGCCGCGUGCAGGCUGAAGGCCUUCGGGUUGUAAACUGCUUUUAUAAGUGAGAAAUAUGAUGGUAACUUAUGGAUAAGGAUCGGCUAACUACGUGCCAGCAGCCGCGGUCAUACGUAGGAUCCGAGCAUUAUCCGGGGUGCCUGGGUGUAAAGGGUUGCGUAGGUGGCAUAGUAAGUAGCUAGGGAAAUCUGGUGGCUCAACCAUUCAGACUAUUAGCUAAACUGCCAAGCUCGAGACCGUUAGGGGUAACUGGAAGUUCUAGUGUAGGAGUGAAAUCCGUAGAUAUUAGAAGGAACACCGAUAGCGUAGGCAGGUUACUGGGACGGUUCUGACACUAAGGCACGAAAGCGUAGGGAGCAAACGGGAUUAGAUACCCUUGUAGUC
Molecule: ribosomal RNA, 442 nt
Filed under: uncultured bacterium
Lineage: Bacteria
Description: partial 16S ribosomal RNA
Rfam family: Bacterial small subunit ribosomal RNA
Source: RNAcentral